RNAcentral lists this ribosomal RNA (255 nucleotides) under uncultured Gardnerella sp. RNAcentral's name for it is "partial 16S ribosomal RNA". It matches the Rfam family "Bacterial small subunit ribosomal RNA", at positions 99 to 355 of the family's 1533-position model. Lineage: Bacteria; Bacillati; Actinomycetota; Actinomycetes; Bifidobacteriales; Bifidobacteriaceae. The record is from RNAcentral.
CGAACGGGUGAGUAAUGCGUGACCAACCUGCCCCAUGCUCCAGAAUAGCUCUUGGAAACGGGUGGUAAUGCUGAUGCUCCAACUUGACGCAUGUCUUGUUGGGAAAGUGUUUAGUGGCAUGGGAUGGGGUCGCUUCCUAUCAGCUUGUAGGCGGGGUAAUGGCCCACCUAGGCUUCGACGGGUAGCCGGCCUGAGAGGGCGGACGGCCACAUUGGGACUGAGAUACGGCCCAGACUCCUACGGGAGGCAGCAGCC